Molecule: ribosomal RNA, 519 nt
Filed under: uncultured Actinomycetes bacterium
Lineage: Bacteria; Bacillati; Actinomycetota; Actinomycetes
Description: bacterial SSU rRNA
Rfam family: Bacterial small subunit ribosomal RNA
Source: RNAcentral
UGGGGAAUCUUGCGCAAUGGGCGAAAGCCUGACGCAGCGACGCCGCGUGGGGGAAGAAGGCCUUCGGGUUGUAAACCUCUUUCAGGUGGGACGAAGCCACUCGGGUUAAUAGCCCAGAGGGUGACGGUACCACCAGAAGAAGCCCCGGCUAACUACGUGCCAGCAGCCGCGGUAAUACGUAGGGGGCAAGCGUUGUCCGGAUUUAUUGGGCGUAAAGAGCGUGUAGGCGGCCAGGUAGGUCGGUUGUGAAAACUGGAGGCUCAACCUUCAGACGUCGACCGAAACCAUCUGGCUAGAGUCCGGAAGAGGAGAAUGGAAUUCCUGGUGUAGCGGUGAAAUGCGCAGAUAUCAGGAAGAACACCCGUGGCGAAAGCGGUUCUCUGGGACGGUACUGACACUGAGACGCGAAAGCGUGGGGAGCGAACAGGAUUAGAUACCCUGGUAGUCCACGCCGUAAACGAUGGGUGCUAGGUGUGGGGGGUGUCGACUCCCUCCGUGCCGAAGCUAACGCAUUAAGCA